This 69-nucleotide transfer RNA is filed under the name Trichonephila inaurata madagascariensis. RNAcentral describes it as "tRNA-Ser". It matches the Rfam family "tRNA". Rfam says of the family: Transfer RNA (tRNA) molecules are approximately 80 nucleotides in length. Their secondary structure includes four short double-helical elements and three loops (D, anti-codon, and T loops). Lineage: Eukaryota; Metazoa; Arthropoda; Arachnida; Araneae; Nephilidae. The record is from RNAcentral.
GCAUCGGUGGUUCAGUGGUAGAAUGCUCGCCAGCUCAGCUCGGGCCCGGAUCGAUUCCCGGCCGAUGCA